This 105-nucleotide small nuclear RNA is filed under the name Vulpes vulpes (red fox). Lineage: Eukaryota; Metazoa; Chordata; Mammalia; Carnivora; Canidae. The record is from RNAcentral.
UUAAUCUAUUGCUAUUAUCUAAAAAAUAUUGAAAAUAUUACAGAGGAGAUUAGGAUCACCCCAUGCAAGGAUGAGAUGCUGACUCAUGAAUCAUUCCAUAAUUUU